This 527-nucleotide ribosomal RNA is filed under the name uncultured bacterium. RNAcentral's name for it is "bacterial SSU rRNA". It matches the Rfam family "Bacterial small subunit ribosomal RNA", at positions 8 to 526 of the family's 1533-position model. The record is from RNAcentral.
AGAGUUUGAUCAUGGCUCAGAUUGAACGCUGGCGGCAGGCCUAACACAUGCAAGUCGAACGGUAGCACAGAGAGCUUGCUCUCGGGUGACGAGUGGCGGACGGGUGAGUAAUGUCUGGGAAACUGCCUGAUGGAGGGGGAUAACUACUGGAAACGGUAGCUAAUACCGCAUACGCCCUACGGGGGAAAGCAGGGGACCUUCGGGCCUUGCGCGAUUGGAUAUGCCCAGGUGGGAUUAGCUAGUUGGUGAGGUAAUGGCUCACCAAGGCGACGAUCCCUAGCUGGUCUGAGAGGAUGAUCAGCCACACUGGGACUGAGACACGGCCCAGACUCCUACGGGAGGCAGCAGUGGGGAAUAUUGCACAAUGGGCGCAAGCCUGAUGCAGCCAUGCCGCGUGUAUGAAGAAGGCCUUAGGGUUGUAAAGUACUUUCAGCGAGGAGGAAGGCGUUGUGGUUAAUAACCUCAGCAAUUGACGUUACCCGCAGAAGAAGCACCGGCUAACUCCGUGCCAGCCGCCGCGGUAAUAC